This 45-nucleotide non-coding RNA is filed under the name Trichobilharzia regenti. Lineage: Eukaryota; Metazoa; Platyhelminthes; Trematoda; Strigeidida; Schistosomatidae. The record is from RNAcentral.
AUCCAGACGACGAGUCCCAAAUAGGACGGAAUGCGCAUCCUGGAU